GGCGGCAUGGCCGAGUGGUAAGGCGGGGGACUGCAAAUCCUUUUUCCCCAGUUCAAAUCCCCCGGUUCAAAUCUGGGUGUCGCCU
Molecule: transfer RNA, 85 nt
Filed under: Viburnum cylindricum
Lineage: Eukaryota; Viridiplantae; Streptophyta; Magnoliopsida; Dipsacales; Adoxaceae
Description: tRNA-Cys
Rfam family: tRNA
About the family: Transfer RNA (tRNA) molecules are approximately 80 nucleotides in length. Their secondary structure includes four short double-helical elements and three loops (D, anti-codon, and T loops).
Source: RNAcentral